CAAAGGGUAGUUUAAUAAAAAUGCCAGUUUUGGGGAUUGGUGAUGGGGGUAGGCCCUCUCUUUUG
This 65-nucleotide transfer RNA is filed under the name Chalarodon madagascariensis (Madagascar iguana). Its description in RNAcentral is "tRNA-Pro". Lineage: Eukaryota; Metazoa; Chordata; Lepidosauria; Squamata. The record is from RNAcentral.